UACGGAGGGUGCGAGCGUUGUCCGGAAUCACUGGGCGUAAAGGGCGCGUAGGCGGCCCGAUAAGUAGGGGGUGAAAUCCUGCGGCUUAACCGCAGGGCUGCCUUCUAAACUGUCGGGCUAGAGCACGGUAGAGGCAGAUGGAAUUCCCGGUGUAGCGGUGGAAUGCGUAGAGAUCGGGAAGAACAUCAGUGGCGAAGGCGGUCUGCUGGGCCGUUGCUGACGCUGAGGUGCGAAAGCGUGGGGAGCAAACAGG
This 253-nucleotide ribosomal RNA is filed under the name uncultured bacterium. RNAcentral's name for it is "partial 16S ribosomal RNA". It matches the Rfam family "Bacterial small subunit ribosomal RNA", at positions 524 to 776 of the family's 1533-position model. The record is from RNAcentral.